AGCCUAGCCACGAGGACUGACCCGAUGGAGCAGAUGCAGCUCAGGCAGGAACAACAGGAACUCCACAAGAAAGCCAAGGAAUGAUAUUUGUCCUUUUCUGGCUCAAGGAGGGUGAAGAGGGUGGACCUGGCACAAAUAGCUUGCAAUCACACGUGCAGCCUUUGAACUGCUUGAUUACAGACAUCAGCCCAUUUUAAAGCAGUAUAGAGUGAUACUCAAAGCCAACCUGGCUCAGAUUCCCAGCUGUUCCACUUACAGCAUCGAGAGAUGCAGCCCUUGGCAUGCUCUGUGCAGACCAAGGGACAAUGGGAGCUGCAGCUGCAGCAAUUCUGCAGGAAGUGUACCUUACAUACUGCAUCUUCCGGCAAUCUAAACAAGAGCAGGACCCUGCCCUGGGGCAGAAAUACACACACACACACACAAAGGCAGUAGCUAUCAUUGACACAGAGGCAGCGGGGAUCCACUCCCAACCUGUCAAUCAAGAGCCAAAGGUAUCAACAAAAGGCAAUCAGCUUUCUGGAAAGUGUGUCAAUAUCUUUAUAGUAAAGCAUGAGGCACAAGCUUGCAAGGAAACAAAGCACACAUAGAAUCAAUGUUCAAGACACAAGAAGAGCAAGAACAGAGCUCCAACUGUAGUAGCCCGCCGACUACUGAGAAAGAUUUUGAGGAUACUCCACUCUCCCUGGCACAAAUCUCAUCACUGAAGUCACUCAUUCUAUGGAAUGACUCAUUCUAGGAUUUCUAAGCCCAGGUCUUUGAAAUACUGGCAGCCUCUGUUUGGAUGCCUUAGAACCCAGCUACCACACUGUAAAGAGACCUGCAGGUUGAGAUGCUACACGGAGGGAAGAGCCUCAGCUAACGGUCAUCAUCAAAGCCCCAACCUUGCAGCUCCAGACAGACGCCAGACUUGAUUUUUCUCACAAAAUUCUUCGUGGAGAUGAAGAUUUACUUCCCAAACGUUCACUGAGCUUAUCCGUGGACAUGACAGCCAUUCAUCACAUUGCAAGCUCUUGGAGGAGAGGACCAUCUCUUUUUCUAAACAACCAAAGUACCUUUAAAAUGGAUGAACUGUGACAGAGGCCGGCAACACCAGGAUAAUCGCAGAACUGAUUUCUGAAAAGACCUGAGUUAAUAGUGAAGAGUGUAUAGGAACUACAAAGUGAUAUACACAAUUUGGUUAUUAUUUCUUUACAUUGAUUUUUGUUUUUUAUUUUUGUUUUGUUUUGUUUUCUUUUCUUCUAGAGACUGGAUCUCUGAUAUAACACGGACUGACCUGGAACUAGCUAUGUUAGUCCAGACUGACCUUGAACUCACAAUCAUCCUGCCUUGAUCUCCUAAGUAUAUUUAACCCCUUAAAUACAGUUAUUUCCAGCUUGAGUAUGGUGGCACUCACUAGUAAUCCCAGCAUGUAAGAAGACGGAAGUGGUAGGACUGAGAGUUCAGGCCACCUGAGCCACAUAAUAAAUUCAAGGUCAACCUGGGCAAUUUGACUAGACCCUGUCUGCAACAAACUACUAAAUAAAAGCAGUUUGUUAAUUUAUUCCUUAGUUUACUAACUCUCCAACCCCACUCCUGGGCAAAUUUACAGAUGCUCUAAAAAAAUUUUUUUAAAUAGGGACUGGAAAGAUGGCUAGUGAUUAAGAACGCUGGCUGCCCUUACAGAGGAUCCAGGUUUAUUCCCAGCAUCCACAGGGCAGUUCACGAGCAUCUAUGACUCCAGUUCUAAGUGACUCGAUGGCCAUAGGUGUACCAACAUUCAUGUGGGUAAAUUACCCAUACACAUAAGCUUUUUAAAAGACUAAGUAUAAAGGAUAAAAUACAGGUAAGAAAUUAGGGCAAAAGUAAACAAUGAUAUGUUAAUGAUAUAUGAAUUUGUAACUUGAUUGCCACAUACCUUGGCUUUUUAUCUUAACUUUGCAAAGCCAAGGUCCAGUGCAUUGUUCUUAUUUCAACAGUGACUGUCUCUAAGCAGUAUUGUCAUUUGCCAUAAAUAGUUCACCAUCAGUGCCAAGGAGCAAUGAAAUAUGUUUAACUGGAAAACUAUAGUUUUGUUGUUAAUAGACGGCCCAGAUUUCACUGUACAUUCAAUUAAUUUCACUUGAUAGAAAGCAUCUAGGUUGAAGGUGGAGGAAAAGAGAAAAAAAAAUCCCAGUUCCUCCCUACAUGGGCUAAAUUGGUCUGUUUAGGCUGGGACUGGUCUCAUUGUAUAUAUGGUGAUCAAAUGGUAGAGAACAGGAGGCAUCUAGAGCUACAAAGCCAAUUUCAGACCUCUGGCCCUGUCACUUUUAUACUCUGAGGUCACCUCUCCCAGACUCAUGGGUAAAAUAAUGGUACCCACAACAGGAGCUCAUUGUAGGAAUUAAACAAGACAGGCAGCGCUGCCCACAGCGCAUCUUCCUAAACAUUGCCUAUGGCCAUCACUGCCAUGGAGAGGGUGCUAGGGAAGGAGCUUUGGAUUUUAGGUAGCCGUCAUUUUAUUAUAGGUUGGGGUGAAUUAGGAACUAUUAACUAAGAUGCUUUGUAGGAUGAAGGUGACACUCGGAGUUUGAAAAUUAUUAAUGUGCUUUUCUUUUUAGCCUGCCGGGAUACAUGGUUCUCACCCUAGUCUUCCCGAGACAUCCUUCUGCCUUGAGAGAUAAAAGUGUAACAGAGAAAAGCCAAGAGGAAAAUCCAGCUUCUGGUGCUCAAAAAUAGGACUUUCCUGCGCCUCUCAAGUUUUGCAAGUCAGCAGAGAGGCUUACGUGUCUCGUCUAGCUGUGUGAGCAGUUGUCAAGGUCCAGGGUAGGAUAAAGAAAAGGAGGCAAGCCAUCACCUAAAUACGGGUCACAGUUUCCUGCAGCCUUUGUGUCUCCCAGGAAAGAACUUGGAGCUGUGAGCAACCAGCAGAGCAGUCACACUCAUUCCAUUGCUUAGCCGAGGUCAGACAGGGGGAGUCAGGAAAUUCAAGCAUAUUAGAUGAUCCCCGGUAUCCAACAGGCUGCCGAAAACUUGCUGUGAUUAGGUGAGCAUGACCAAAAAUGCUGUUAUUAUACUUAAGGAAAAGACUAAGCAGAAUUAACACGCUCCUGCUUUAUGAAUUUCAAGAUCCUUUAUUAAAAUUAUAUCUCAUAUUACUCGCCAAUAAAAAUAAUAAAGUCUUGUUA
Molecule: long non-coding RNA, 3143 nt
Organism: Meriones unguiculatus (Mongolian gerbil)
Lineage: Eukaryota; Metazoa; Chordata; Mammalia; Rodentia; Muridae
Exons: 4
Source: RefSeq, a predicted model, not a curated record